Molecule: transfer RNA, 63 nt
Filed under: Rattus norvegicus (Norway rat)
Lineage: Eukaryota; Metazoa; Chordata; Mammalia; Rodentia; Muridae
Rfam family: tRNA
About the family: Transfer RNA (tRNA) molecules are approximately 80 nucleotides in length. Their secondary structure includes four short double-helical elements and three loops (D, anti-codon, and T loops). Further hydrogen bonds mediate the characteristic L-shaped molecular structure. tRNAs have two regions of fundamental functional importance: the anti-codon, which is responsible for specific mRNA codon recognition, and the 3' end, to which the tRNAs corresponding amino acid is attached (by aminoacyl-tRNA synthetases). tRNAs cope with the degeneracy of the genetic code in two manners: having more than one tRNA (with a specific anti-codon) for a particular amino acid; and 'wobble' base-pairing, i.e. permitting non-standard base-pairing at the 3rd anti-codon position.
Source: Rfam by way of RNAcentral
GGGGAUUUAGCUCAGCGGUAGAGCGCUUGCCUAGCAAGCUCAAGGUCCUGGGUUCAGUCCCCA